GGGGAAGUCUGAGCUGGUGGAGCUGGAUUUCUCUCCUUGGCAGUUCUUGUUCUUCUCUCUGGCUGCCCUGAUGCUCGGGAAAGUGGUUCCAAGAGCAGUCUUGACUAGCUUUUUGUGAACCUGAGCCAGCCUGCAUAAUACCACAAAUUUCUUAGACCAUAUUCAAAGUGCCAGAGUGAACCUAGAGAAGGAUCCAAAGAGACUUGCAAAGGCGGUGAGCGCGGGUCUGGAGCCUGCCUUCCCUGAACGCUGGGUCCUGCUCAGAGGAGUUGAGUCAACGCAGUGCGGGC
This is a long non-coding RNA of Aquila chrysaetos chrysaetos, 290 nucleotides long. RefSeq lists it as uncharacterized. The record is from RefSeq and is a predicted model, not a curated record. Lineage: Eukaryota; Metazoa; Chordata; Aves; Accipitriformes; Accipitridae. The transcript is spliced from 3 exons.